Molecule: ribosomal RNA, 253 nt
Filed under: uncultured bacterium
Lineage: Bacteria
Description: partial 16S ribosomal RNA
Rfam family: Bacterial small subunit ribosomal RNA
Source: RNAcentral
UACGUAGGGUGCAAGCGUUAAUCGGAAUUACUGGGCGUAAAGCGUGCGCAGGCGGUUUUGUAAGUCAGAUGUGAAAUCCCCGGGCUUAACCUGGGAACUGCGUUUGAAACUACAAGGCUAGAGUGUGGCAGAGGGGGGUGGAAUUCCACGUGUAGCAGUGAAAUGCGUAGAGAUGUGGAGGAACACCGAUGGCGAAGGCAGCCCCCUGGGUUAACACUGACGCUCAGGCACGAAAGCGUAGGGAGCAAACAGG